This 440-nucleotide ribosomal RNA is filed under the name uncultured cyanobacterium. RNAcentral's name for it is "bacterial SSU rRNA". It matches the Rfam family "Bacterial small subunit ribosomal RNA", at positions 8 to 490 of the family's 1533-position model. The record is from RNAcentral. Lineage: Bacteria; Bacillati; Cyanobacteriota.
AGAGUUUGAUCAUGGCUCAGGAUGAACGCUGGCGGUCUGCUUAACACAUGCAAGUCGAACGGAAUCUUUCGGGAUUUAGUGGCGGACGGGUGAGUAACGCGUGAGAAUCUGCCUUCAGGUUCGGGACAACAGUUGGAAACGGCUGCUAAUACCGGAUGUGCCGAGAGGUGAAAGCUUAAGUGCCUGGAGAUGAGCUCGCGUCUGAUUAGCUAGUAGGAGUGGUAACGGCACCCCUAGGCGACGAUCAGUAGCUGGUCUGAGAGGAUGAUCAGCCACACUGGGACUGAGACACGGCCCAGACUCCUACGGGAGGCAGCAGUGGGGAAUUUUCCGCAAUGGGCGCAAGCCUGACGGAGCAAGACCGCGUGAGGGAAGAAGGUCUGUGGAUUGUAAACCUCUUUUGAUCGGGAAGAAGACAGUGACGGUACCGAUCGAAUCAG